Molecule: unclassified non-coding RNA, 355 nt
Filed under: Eufriesea mexicana
Lineage: Eukaryota; Metazoa; Arthropoda; Insecta; Hymenoptera; Apidae
Description: sAP30-binding protein, transcript variant X1
Source: RNAcentral
UAGAAUAUAGUAAGGUGAUAUGCAAUGAUAACGUUUGACUUCUUCGAUUAAGCAAACAUUAAUUAAUAAAAGAAUAAUACGUCGUAAGUUUAGCGUAAUAAAUGAAAAAUCAGGUAUAGUGUAAGCAGAAAAAUUGUGGAUUCGAAUAGUCAGAUACGGUAUAGUAAUAGACAUUCCAACAAAACAUUGGGGCAUAAUUAAUGUUGAUAUAUAAGGCAUAUUUACAUACAUAAAAGCCCUACAACUUAAAGGCGUACAGCUCUACGCUAGACCGUGUUGCUCUGGCAUCUCUCACGGCCACCUAUACCGACUCGGAGGGCGAAGACGGGGUGGAAGACGACCUUCAGGAGAAUUC